CCAAUAGCGUAUAUUAAAGUUGUUGCAGUUAAAAAGCUCGUAGUUGAAUUUCGGGAUUGACACAUCGGUCGUGCCCUAAGGGGUAUGAACUGGUGUAGUCAAUUUCUCACCUUCUGGAGAACCGCGAUGCCCUUAAUUGGGUGUCACGGGGAACCAGGACCUUUACUUUGAAAAAAUUAGAGUGUUUAAAGCAGGCAUUUUGCUUGAAUACAUUAGCAUGGAAUAAUAAAAUAGGACGGCAUGAUUCUAUUUUGUUGGUUUCUAGGAUCACCGUAAUGAUUAAUAGGGAUAGUUGGGGGCAUUAGUAUUCAAUUGUCAGAGGUGAAAUUCUUGGAUUUAUUGAAGACUAACUACUGCGAAAGCAUUUGCCAAGGAUGUUUUCAUUAAUCAAGAACGAAAGUUAGGGGAUCGAAGACGAUCAGAUACCGUCGUAGUCUUAACCAUAAACUAUGCCGACUAGGAAUCAGACGAUGUUAAUUUUUUAAUGACUCGUUUGGCACCUUACG
RNAcentral lists this ribosomal RNA (506 nucleotides) under uncultured Glomeromycotina. Its description in RNAcentral is "partial small subunit ribosomal RNA". It matches the Rfam family "Eukaryotic small subunit ribosomal RNA", at positions 591 to 1092 of the family's 1831-position model. The record is from RNAcentral. Lineage: Eukaryota; Fungi; Glomeromycota.